Long non-coding RNA from Equus asinus (donkey), 1483 nucleotides. The record is from Ensembl. NCBI's taxonomy places the organism in Eukaryota, Metazoa, Chordata, Mammalia, Perissodactyla, Equidae.
AAACAAAACAAACUUAUUAUUUUACAGUUCUGGAGGUCAGAAGUCUGAAAUGGGUCUCAGGGCUAAAAUCAAGGUGUCAGCAAGGCCGUAUUCCUUCUGUAGGCUCUAAGAGGAAUCCAGGUUGAACCACUGGCAGUAACCGUUUCCCAGCUGAUCACAUUUUGCCUGUAUUGCCUGAGACCAGGCUUCAGUAAUGCCUUAAAACCUUGCUACUCAAAGGGUGGUCCCCAGACCACCAGCAUCAGCAUCACCAGGGAGCUCGCGAGAAAUGCAGUCAGGCCCCACCACAAAUCUGCUGAACCAAAACCUGCCUGUCAACAGGAUCCCCAGACCUACAGCCACUGCAGACUCGACAGUAGAUGCAGAAGCAACAACCCACGUAAAACGCUCCACCAGCUCCCACAACUGUGCCACUUGUAAUUCACCACUUAGAGACAACCACGGCAACGUCAUGCAUGGCUUGAUGAGCGAUGUGCAGGUCUGUGCCUGGGAUGCAAACCAGUGAACCCCGGGCUGCUGAAGCGGAGUGCACGAACUUUGCUAUACCACUGGGCUGGCCCCAAGGAUGACUUUCUAAUAGGCUGUUCUGCAUGUUGCUCGACCUUCCUGCCUGAUGCUCCACUGUCACCAUCAGCUGAACACCGCAGGGGUGCGGCUGCCUGAGAACGACCUGAAGAAACUACUCUCCUCUGGCCAGUGUAAGACCCAUUUGCCUGUCAACCAGGGACUGCUCCCCACCAUUAGAAAUGUACUUUUGACCUUGCUAAUUCUAGAAAAUAGUCAAGGUAUUAGUAACUGAACUGAGCAAAUCCAUUUUUAAAAGAGAACUCAUAAUUAAUCUUAUCCCUACAUUUGGCAGAAGGGUGAAGUUAAGUGUGUAUUAACUGGCAGAAUCCUAAAAUCUUGUAGGCUCUUAACAUAUGAUUUGAUUACCAACUGCUUAGGUGGUUUGGUUGAUAUCAUGGAAGAUACCACAGGAGGUUUCUGUUGUCACUAUUCCAAUGGUUGUCCCAGCUAACAAAGAUAAGAUUAAAACUACUACUAUCUUCUUCUGCCUCUUUUGAGUACCUCUCUAACUUUGUUAAAUAGAGGCUGAUUUCUGAAGCAACAGAGAAUAAAUUCUGUCACGUUAGCUUAUUUGAAAGCCACUGCUCGCGUCGUCCUCUCCCCCGUCUCCUUUACAGGCCGACCCUGGCCGGUUCUGCCGGGUGUUCCUCACAUGAAGUGAUUGCCGUGCUCUUUAACAUCCUGCCGGGCUUCCUGGGAAGUCCAUUUUGUUAAAGUCCAUCGUGUAAUGUGGCUCUCAAAACUAUUAUGGGCUUGCCGAUGUCCAGUAAAGUGGAAGUAUCUGCAGUAGCUUCUGAGGGCAGCUUUGUUACUGUCUGGUUCAUGUUGAGUUUUCAAUCAACUAAAACCCUAAGUAUGCUUCAGGUUGGUUGCUGUUAAGCCAGUUUUCCACAAUAACGUACUUUUGGAAUUGAUA